RNAcentral lists this ribosomal RNA (229 nucleotides) under Clostridioides difficile. Its description in RNAcentral is "partial 16S ribosomal RNA". It matches the Rfam family "Bacterial small subunit ribosomal RNA", at positions 405 to 652 of the family's 1533-position model. Lineage: Bacteria; Bacillati; Bacillota; Clostridia; Peptostreptococcales; Peptostreptococcaceae. The record is from RNAcentral.
GUGAUGAAGGCCUUCGGGUCGUAAAGCUCUGUCCUCAAGGAAGAUAAUGACGGUACUUGAGGAGGAAGCCCCGGCUAACUACGUGCCAGCAGCCGCGGUAAGACGUAGGGGGCUAGCGUUAUCCGGAGUUACUGGGCGUAAAGGGUGCGUAGGCGGUCUUUCAAGUCAGGAGUGAAAGGCUACGGCUCAACCGUAGUAAGCUCUUGAAACUGGGAGACUUGAGUGCAGG